CGCGGGGUGGAGCAGCGGCAGCUCGUCGGGCUCAUAACCCGAAGGUCAGAGGUUCGAAUCCUCUCCCCGCAACCA
RNAcentral lists this transfer RNA (75 nucleotides) under Chloroflexi bacterium GWC2_73_18. RNAcentral describes it as "tRNA-Met". It matches the Rfam family "tRNA". From Rfam's summary of the family: Transfer RNA (tRNA) molecules are approximately 80 nucleotides in length. Their secondary structure includes four short double-helical elements and three loops (D, anti-codon, and T loops). Further hydrogen bonds mediate the characteristic L-shaped molecular structure. tRNAs have two regions of fundamental functional importance: the anti-codon, which is responsible for specific mRNA codon recognition, and the 3' end, to which the tRNAs corresponding amino acid is attached (by aminoacyl-tRNA synthetases). tRNAs cope with the degeneracy of the genetic code in two manners: having more than one tRNA (with a specific anti-codon) for a particular amino acid; and 'wobble' base-pairing, i.e. permitting non-standard base-pairing at the 3rd anti-codon position. The record is from RNAcentral. Lineage: Bacteria; Bacillati; Chloroflexota. RNAcentral also lists the same sequence under 6 other names.